GAAUACCCGCUGAACUUAAGCAUAUCAAUAAGCGGAAGAGAAAAAUAAAA
This 50-nucleotide ribosomal RNA is filed under the name Tolypocladium sp. 20124730e. RNAcentral describes it as "partial 28S ribosomal RNA". Lineage: Eukaryota; Fungi; Ascomycota; Sordariomycetes; Hypocreales; Ophiocordycipitaceae. The record is from RNAcentral.